UGGGGAAUAUUGCACAAUGGGCGCAAGCCUGAUGCAGCCAUGCCGCGUGUGUGAAGAAGGCCUUCGGGUUGUAAAGCACUUUCAGCGGGGAGGAAGGCGGUGAGGUUAAUAACCUCAUCGAUUGACGUUACCCGCAGAAGAAGCACCGGCUAACUCCGUGCCAGCAGCCGCGGUAAUACGGAGGGUGCAAGCGUUAAUCGGAAUUACUGGGCGUAAAGCGCACGCAGGCGGUCUGUCAAGUCGGAUGUGAAAUCCCCGGGCUCAACCUGGGAACUGCAUUCGAAACUGGCAGGGUAGAGUCUUGUAGAGGGGGGUAGAAUUCCAGGUGUAGCGGUGAAAUGCGUAGAGAUCUGGAGGAAUACCGGUGGCGAAGGCGGACCCCUGGACAAAGACUGACGCUCAGGUGCGAAAGCGUGGGGAGCAAACAGG
This 429-nucleotide ribosomal RNA is filed under the name Chloroflexota bacterium. Its description in RNAcentral is "Chloroflexi bacterium partial 16S ribosomal RNA". It matches the Rfam family "Bacterial small subunit ribosomal RNA", at positions 355 to 776 of the family's 1533-position model. The record is from RNAcentral. Lineage: Bacteria; Bacillati; Chloroflexota.